Molecule: ribosomal RNA, 424 nt
Filed under: uncultured bacterium
Lineage: Bacteria
Description: bacterial SSU rRNA
Rfam family: Bacterial small subunit ribosomal RNA
Source: RNAcentral
CAGGGAAUUUUGCGCAAUGGGCGAAAGCCUGACGCAGCAACGCCGCGUGGGGGAUGAAGGCUCUUGGGUCGUAAACCCCUUUUGCCGGGGAAGAUCAUGACGGUACCCGGCGAAUAAGCCACGGCUAACUACGUGCCAGCAGCCGCGGUAAUACGUAGGUGGCAAGCGUUGUCCGGAUUUAUUGGGCGUAAAGCGCGCGCAGGCGGUCUGUCGCGUCCGAGGUGAAAUCUCCCGGCUCAACUGGGAGGGGUCUUCGGAUACGGGCAGACUAGAGGAGAGCAGAGGUGAGCGGAAUUCUCGGUGUAGUGGUGAAAUGCGUAGAUAUCGAGAGGAACACCAGUGGCGAAGGCGGCUCACUGGGCUCCACCUGACGCUGAGGCGCGAAAGCGUGGGGAGCGAACCGGAUUAGAUACCCCCGUAGUCC